CGACCUUAAAUUGGAGCUCUAUCA
RNAcentral lists this non-coding RNA (24 nucleotides) under Arabidopsis thaliana (thale cress). The record is from RNAcentral. Lineage: Eukaryota; Viridiplantae; Streptophyta; Magnoliopsida; Brassicales; Brassicaceae.